RNAcentral lists this transfer RNA (105 nucleotides) under Hapsidospora chrysogenum ATCC 11550. Its description in RNAcentral is "Acremonium chrysogenum ATCC 11550 tRNA". It matches the Rfam family "tRNA". Rfam says of the family: Transfer RNA (tRNA) molecules are approximately 80 nucleotides in length. Their secondary structure includes four short double-helical elements and three loops (D, anti-codon, and T loops). Further hydrogen bonds mediate the characteristic L-shaped molecular structure. tRNAs have two regions of fundamental functional importance: the anti-codon, which is responsible for specific mRNA codon recognition, and the 3' end, to which the tRNAs corresponding amino acid is attached (by aminoacyl-tRNA synthetases). tRNAs cope with the degeneracy of the genetic code in two manners: having more than one tRNA (with a specific anti-codon) for a particular amino acid; and 'wobble' base-pairing, i.e. permitting non-standard base-pairing at the 3rd anti-codon position. Lineage: Eukaryota; Fungi; Ascomycota; Sordariomycetes; Hypocreales; Bionectriaceae. The record is from Rfam by way of RNAcentral.
GUUCCUGUAGCGGAGUGGUUACCGCGUGACUCUUAUAGGUCAAGAAUUUUUCUUGGUUUUAUGGUAGAAAUGUCAAGGUCGAGGGUUCGACCCCCUCCAGGAACA